UACGAGGGGAGCAAGCGUUGUUCGGAAUUAUUGGGCGUAAAGAGCGCGUAGGCGGUCUGUCGCGUCUGCUGUGAAAACUCGGGGCUUAACCCCGGGCCUGCAGUGGGUACGGGCAGACUAGAGUGCGGUAGGGGAGACUGGAAUUCCUGGUGUAGCGGUGAAAUGCGUAGAGAUCCGGAGGAACACCAAAGGCGAAGGCAGUGUCCUGGGGAGUACCUGACGCUCAGGUGCGAAAGCCAGGGGAGCGAACGGG
This 253-nucleotide ribosomal RNA is filed under the name uncultured bacterium. Its description in RNAcentral is "partial 16S ribosomal RNA". It matches the Rfam family "Bacterial small subunit ribosomal RNA", at positions 524 to 776 of the family's 1533-position model. The record is from RNAcentral.